Molecule: ribosomal RNA, 219 nt
Filed under: Escherichia coli
Lineage: Bacteria; Pseudomonadati; Pseudomonadota; Gammaproteobacteria; Enterobacterales; Enterobacteriaceae
Description: partial 16S ribosomal RNA
Rfam family: Bacterial small subunit ribosomal RNA
Source: RNAcentral
AAAUUGAAGAGUUUGAUCAUGGCUCAGAUUGAACGCUGGCGGCAGGCCUAACACAUGCAAGUCGAACGGUAACAGGAAGAAGCUUGCUUCUUUGCUGACGAGUGGCGGACGGGUGAGUAAUAUCUGGGAAACUGCCUGAUGGAGGGGGAUAACUACUGGAAACGGUAGCUAAUACCGCAUAACGUCGCAAGACCAAAGAGGGGGACCUUCGGGCCUCUU